This 383-nucleotide ribosomal RNA is filed under the name uncultured eukaryote. RNAcentral's name for it is "partial 18S ribosomal RNA". It matches the Rfam family "Eukaryotic small subunit ribosomal RNA", at positions 592 to 976 of the family's 1831-position model. The record is from RNAcentral.
CAAUAGCGUAUAUUAAAGUUGUUGCAGUUAAAAAGCUCGUAGUUGGAUUUCUGGUGGGAGCGAUCGGUCUGGCGCUUAGCGCGAGUACUUGCAUCGUCUCCGGCCAUCCUUGGGGAGAGUCUGUCUGGCAUUAGGUUGUCGGGCAGAGGAUCCUCAUCGUUUACUGUGAAAAAAUUAGAGUGUUCAAAGCAGGCUUAUGCCGUUGAAUAUAUUAGCAUAGAAUAAUAAGAUAGGACUUUGGUACUAUUUUGUUGGUUUGCGCACCAAAGUAAUGAUUAAUAGGGACAGUUGGGGGUAUUCGUAUUCCGUUGUCAGAGGUGAAAUUCUUGGAUUUACGGAAGACGAACUACUGCGAAAGCAUUUACCAAGGAUGUUUUCAUUAA